GGGGUUGUAGCUCAGUGGUAGAGCAGUUGCCUUGCACUCAUGAAGCUCUGGGUUUGAUCCUCAGCACCA
Ictidomys tridecemlineatus (thirteen-lined ground squirrel) is the source of this 69-nucleotide non-coding RNA. The record is from Rfam. NCBI's taxonomy places the organism in Eukaryota, Metazoa, Chordata, Mammalia, Rodentia, Sciuridae.